Molecule: ribosomal RNA, 586 nt
Filed under: uncultured eukaryote
Lineage: Eukaryota
Description: bacterial SSU rRNA
Rfam family: Eukaryotic small subunit ribosomal RNA
Source: RNAcentral
CCCGGCCCGGACACUGUAAGGAUUGACAGAUUGAUAGCUCUUUCUUAAUUCAGUGGGUGGUGGUGCAUGGCCGUUCUUAGUUGGUGGAGCGAUUUGUCUGGUUAAUUCCGAUAACGAACGAGACUCUGGCCUAUUAAAUAGACGAUAUAUUUAAAAGUAUAUCGCGCUUCUUAGAGGGACAAGCGGCGUCUAGCCGCAUGAAAUAGAGCAAUAACAGGUCUGUGAUGCCCUUAGAUGUCCGGGGCUGCACGCGCGCUACACUGAAAUAAGCAGAGUGCGUUUUGCCUAGUUCGGAAGAACCGGGUAACCCAAGUAAAUUCUUUCGUGCUUGGGAUAGGGAAUUGCAAUUAUUUCCCUUAAACGAGGAAUUCCCAGUAAAUGCGGGUCAUAAGCUCGCGUUGAUUACGUCCCUGCCCUUUGUACACACCGCCCGUCGCUACUACCGACUGGACGAUUUCAUGAGGCUUUUGGACUGUUGCUAAUGGCGAUUCGUCGGCAUUUGUGAUCGGGAAUCUAUCCGAAUGGUAUCGUUUGGAGGAAGUAAAAGUCGUAACAAGGUUUCCGUAGGUGAACCUGCGGAAGGAUC